GGUUAAGCGACUAAGCGUACACGGUGGAUGCCCUGGCAGUCAGAGGCGAUGAAGGACGUGCUAAUCUGCGAUAAGCGUCGGUAAGGUGAUAUGAACCGUUAUAACCGGCGAUUUCCGAAUGGGGAAACCCAGUGUGAUUCGUCACACUAUCAUUAACUGAAUCCAUAGGUUAAUGAGGCGAACCGGGGGAACUGAAACAUCUAAGUACCCCGAGGAAAAGAAAUCAACCGAGAUUCCCCCAGUAGCGGCGAGCGAACGGGGAGGAGCCCAGAGCCUGAAUCAGUGUGUGUGUUAGUGGAAGCGUCUGGAAAGGCGCGCGAUACAGGGUGACAGCCCCGUACACAAAAAUGCACAUGCUGUGAGCUCGAUGAGUAGGGCGGGACACGUGGUAUCCUGUCUGAAUAUGGGGGGACCAUCCUCCAAGGCUAAAUACUCCUGACUGACCGAUAGUGAACCAGUACCGUGAGGGAAAGGCGAAAAGAACCCCGGCGAGGGGAGUGAAAAAGAACCUGAAACCGUGUACGUACAAGCAGUGGGAGCACAGAGCAAUCUGUGUGACUGCGUACCUUUUGUAUAAUGGGUCAGCGACUUAUAUUCUGUAGCAAGGUUAACCGAAUAGGGGAGCCGAAGGGAAACCGAGUCUUAACUGGGCGUUAAGUUGCAGGGUAUAGACCCGAAACCCGGUGAUCUAGCCAUGGGCAGGUUGAAGGUUGGGUAACACUAACUGGAGGACCGAACCGACUAAUGUUGAAAAAUUAGCGGAUGACUUGUGGCUGGGGGUGAAAGGCCAAUCAAACCGGGAGAUAGCUGGUUCUCCCCGAAAGCUAUUUAGGUAGCGCCUCGUGAAUUCAUCUCCGGGGGUAGAGCACUGUUUCGGCAAGGGGGUCAUCCCGACUUACCAACCCGAUGCAAACUGCGAAUACCGGAGAAUGUUAUCACGGGAGACACACGGCGGGUGCUAACGUCCGUCGUGAAGAGGGAAACAACCCAGACCGCCAGCUAAGGUCCCAAAGUCAUGGUUAAGUGGGAAACGAUGUGGGAAGGCCCAGACAGCCAGGAUGUUGGCUUAGAAGCAGCCAUCAUUUAAAGAAAGCGUAAUAGCUCACUGGUCGAGUCGGCCUGCGCGGAAGAUGUAACGGGGCUAAACCAUGCACCGAAGCUGCGGCAGCGACGCUUAUGCGUUGUUGGGUAGGGGAGCGUUCUGUAAGCCUGUGAAGGUGUACUGUGAGGUAUGCUGGAGGUAUCAGAAGUGCGAAUGCUGACAUAAGUAACGAUAAAGCGGGUGAAAAGCCCGCUCGCCGGAAGACCAAGGGUUCCUGUCCAACGUUAAUCGGGGCAGGGUGAGUCGACCCCUAAGGCGAGGCCGAAAGGCGUAGUCGAUGGGAAACAGGUUAAUAUUCCUGUACUUGGUGUUACUGCGAAGGGGGGACGGAGAAGGCUAUGUUGGCCGGGCGACGGUUGUCCCGGUUUAAGCGUGUAGGCUGGUUUUCCAGGCAAAUCCGGAAAAUCAAGGCUGAGGCGUGAUGACGAGGCACUACGGUGCUGAAGCAACAAAUGCCCUGCUUCCAGGAAAAGCCUCUAAGCAUCAGGUAACAUCAAAUCGUACCCCAAACCGACACAGGUGGUCAGGUAGAGAAUACCAAGGCGCUUGAGAGAACUCGGGUGAAGGAACUAGGCAAAAUGGUGCCGUAACUUCGGGAGAAGGCACGCUGAUAUGUAGGUGAAGUCCCUCGCGGAUGGAGCUGAAAUCAGUCGAAGAUACCAGCUGGCUGCAACUGUUUAUUAAAAACACAGCACUGUGCAAACACGAAAGUGGACGUAUACGGUGUGACGCCUGCCCGGUGCCGGAAGGUUAAUUGAUGGGGUUAGCGCAAGCGAAGCUCUUGAUCGAAGCCCCGGUAAACGGCGGCCGUAACUAUAACGGUCCUAAGGUAGCGAAAUUCCUUGUCGGGUAAGUUCCGACCUGCACGAAUGGCGUAAUGAUGGCCAGGCUGUCUCCACCCGAGACUCAGUGAAAUUGAACUCGCUGUGAAGAUGCAGUGUACCCGCGGCAAGACGGAAAGACCCCGUGAACCUUUACUAUAGCUUGACACUGAACAUUGAGCCUUGAUGUGUAGGAUAGGUGGGAGGCUUUGAAGUGUGGACGCCAGUCUGCAUGGAGCCGACCUUGAAAUACCACCCUUUAAUGUUUGAUGUUCUAACGUUGACCCGUAAUCCGGGUUGCGGACAGUGUCUGGUGGGUAGUUUGACUGGGGCGGUCUCCUCCUAAAGAGUAACGGAGGAGCACGAAGGUUGGCUAAUCCUGGUCGGACAUCAGGAGGUUAGUGCAAUGGCAUAAGCCAGCUUGACUGCGAGCGUGACGGCGCGAGCAGGUGCGAAAGCAGGUCAUAGUGAUCCGGUGGUUCUGAAUGGAAGGGCCAUCGCUCAACGGAUAAAAGGUACUCCGGGGAUAACAGGCUGAUACCGCCCAAGAGUUCAUAUCGACGGCGGUGUUUGGCACCUCGAUGUCGGCUCAUCACAUCCUGGGGCUGAAGUAGGUCCCAAGGGUAUGGCUGUUCGCCAUUUAAAGUGGUACGCGAGCUGGGUUUAGAACGUCGUGAGACAGUUCGGUCCCUAUCUGCCGUGGGCGCUGGAGAAUUGAGGGGGGCUGCUCCUAGUACGAGAGGACCGGAGUGGACGCAUCACUGGUGUUCGGGUUGUCAUGCCAAUGGCACUGCCCGGUAGCCUAAAUGCGGAAGAGAUAAGUGCUGAAAGCAUCUAAGCACGAAACUUGCCCCGAGAUGAGUUCUCCCUGACUCCUUGAGAGUCCUGAAGGAACGUUGAAGACGACGACGUUGAUAGGCCGGGUGUGUAAGCGCAGCGAUGCGUUGAGCUAACCGGUACUAAUGAACCGUGAGGCUUAACCUU
RNAcentral lists this ribosomal RNA (2907 nucleotides) under Escherichia coli 97.0264. Its description in RNAcentral is "bacterial LSU rRNA". It matches the Rfam family "Bacterial large subunit ribosomal RNA". Lineage: Bacteria; Pseudomonadati; Pseudomonadota; Gammaproteobacteria; Enterobacterales; Enterobacteriaceae. The record is from RNAcentral.